This 498-nucleotide ribosomal RNA is filed under the name uncultured bacterium. RNAcentral's name for it is "partial 16S ribosomal RNA". It matches the Rfam family "Bacterial small subunit ribosomal RNA", at positions 28 to 507 of the family's 1533-position model. The record is from RNAcentral.
GACGAACGCUGGCGGCGUGCCUAAUACAUGCAAGUCGAACGAGAGCGACCGGUGCUUGCACUGGUCAAUCUAGUGGCGAACGGGUGAGUAACACGUGGGUAACCUGCCCAUCAGAGGGGGAUAACAUCCGGAAACGGAUGCUAAAACCGCAUAGGUCUUCGAACCGCAUGGUUUGAAGAGGAAAAGAGGCGCAAGCUUCUGCUGAUGGAUGGACCCGCGGUGCAUUAGCUAGUUGGUGAGGUAACGGCUCACCAAGGCCGUGAUGCAUAGCCGACCUGAGAGGGUGAUCGGCCACAUUGGGACUGAGACACGGCCCAAACUCCUACGGGAGGCAGCAGUAGGGAAUCUUCCGCAAUGGACGCAAGUCUGACGGAGCAACGCCGCGUGGGUGAAGAAGGUUUUCGGAUCGUAAAACUCUGUUGUUAGAGAAGAACAAGUGCUAGAGUAACUGUUAGCGCCUUGACGGUAUCUAAACAGAAAGCCACGGCUAACUACGUG